This 356-nucleotide transfer RNA is filed under the name uncultured Microcystis sp. RNAcentral's name for it is "partial 16S-23S ribosomal RNA intergenic spacer". The stretch from base 133 to 206 matches the Rfam family "tRNA". The record is from RNAcentral. Lineage: Bacteria; Bacillati; Cyanobacteriota; Cyanophyceae; Chroococcales; Microcystaceae.
AAGGGAGACCUAAUUCAGGUAUGGGGCGAAAAAAAAGUAGUCGCUACCAAGAAUCAAUCCCAAAAGGUCGGAGCGAGGUAUGAGGCUUUCAAACUAGGUUCUGGGUUCAAACAAGACCUGAAUCAGGAACAAGGGCUAUUAGCUCAGGUGGUUAGAGCGCACCCCUGAUAAGGGUGAGGUCCCUGGUUCGAGUCCAGGAUGGCCCACCUGCACAGGUGGCAAAAACAAGAGAAGCGAGGAAUCAGCACCUUAUCUUAUCUAUAUAUAAGAGAGAAUGCUGGCUCUGAGUAAAGAGUCCAGAGGAACCUUGAAAACUGCAUAGAGCUAGGUGAAAAAGCCAAAAAAGAAGACCGCAA